CGUGUCGUGAGAUGUUGGGUUAAGUCCCGCAACGAGCGCAACCCUCGCCUCUAGUUGCCAGCACGAAGGUGGGCACUCUAGAGGGACUGCCGGCGACAAGUCGGAGGAAGGUGGGGAUGACGUCAAAUCAUCAUGCCCCUUAUGACCUGGGCUACACACGUGCUACAAUGGGCGGUACAAAGGGCUGCGAACCCGCGAGGGGGAGCGAAUCCCAAAAAGCCGCUCUCAGUUCGGAUUGCAGGCUGCAACUCGCCUGCAUGAAGUCGGAAUCGCUAGUAAUCGCGGAUCAGCAUGCCGCGGUGAAUACGUUCCCGGGCCUU
Molecule: ribosomal RNA, 320 nt
Filed under: uncultured bacterium
Lineage: Bacteria
Description: bacterial SSU rRNA
Rfam family: Bacterial small subunit ribosomal RNA
Source: RNAcentral